UUGUUCAUGAAUGUCCCUAAUGUUUUCGCUCGACCAUUGACUGAGAUGCUUACUAAAAAGUUUCAGCAUACUUUGAAGCCCUCCACAUAACAUUACCUUCAAUAUUUGUGUUCCAUAUCUACUGAACCAUAUCUAGAAAACCUGGUUGAAUGGUCCAGAAGUUGAGGAAUUUGAAGUAUUUGAUGUAAUGUUGUUGGUCAUGACAUUUAAAUAGAAGGGGUCUAUGAUCAGAACCAUUCCUUACCAAAUGUUUCACAGUGUUGCUUUGGAAGAGUUGGGCCCAUAGAUCAUUGGUCAUAAUUCUGUCUAGUCUCUUCCAAAUUCUUUUACUAGGCCUUCUAUUGUUGCACCAAGUGUACCUUUGGCAAGUGAAACCAAUGUCCAUUAAGCCACAAGAUUCCAUAGUACUAAUAAAAUCCAGACUUCUAAAUGCUGUAUGAGUAUUACCCUCUAGUUUUUCAAUCAGAUACAUGAUAAUAUUGAAGUCACCACCAAUACACCAAGGGCCAUCAAUAAUGUUGUUCAUGUUAUGAAUACUAUCUUACAAAUCCCUUCUUUCACUAGCAGCAUAUUUGGCAUAUACUGCUAUAAUAAAGGUUCCUGAAUCUGCAGCAUUAUCUUUCAUUUUAAGAGUAAUUUGUUGUUCAGUGUUUGCCAACACCUCAGUGUGAUCCAGGUAGUUCUAAAAGAACCAGAUCUUACCAAUGACAUUAGCCUGACAAUGUUGAAAUCCUAAGAACCUUUUGUAGCCAUGUAUCUUACUCAUAUCAACAAAUGGAUCAUAAAUAGCUACAAAAGCCACUUGGUUGAUGUUGAUAAGAAGUUCAAGUCUGUGAAUAGCCUUUUUGGAUAUCACCCCUCUUAUAUUCCAAAAGAUUGUACUAAUUGUUAGGUUUAGGGGGAGGUGUGCUAUUUGUAUCCUCUU
RNAcentral lists this long non-coding RNA (925 nucleotides) under Nicotiana benthamiana. Its description in RNAcentral is "long non-coding RNA (NBEN_LNC010158)". The record is from RNAcentral. Lineage: Eukaryota; Viridiplantae; Streptophyta; Magnoliopsida; Solanales; Solanaceae.